CUUGUCUGGAAAGUCACAUACUCAAGUAUUGUAUCAAUUGGCACUCACCUCAGAUCAAUAUUACCUGGAGUAUGUUGUUCUUUGAGUUGCCUCACACCAGUUACUCCCUCCGACCUCUACGGCCUGCUGCCACGCCACCGUCUGCAGAUCCUGCACAAAGUCCAUGGCGUCCUAUCUCUACGGCACGGGCUGCUGCCACACCACCAUCUGCAGCUCCUGCGCUUCAGAGUUGGAGCUGGAGGGGAAGAUGCAAAUAAUGGGAAAUCUGGAGUUGGCGAUCGACAAAUAGAAGCUAAGCCUGAUACGCUGACAGUUGAUACUGGUGCUGGGGUUCCAUUCCAUCAAAUAUUUUAGUCAGUUUUCAAGUUCUUUGUAUAUGACCAGAUAUACAGAAAGCAUGCUCAACAACAAGGUAGAGCUGCAAAUAUCUCUUCAAAGAAUAAUUAUGUCCUUACGAAGAAGUUAUCGACCAUUCGAGACUUUGAACCCACUCUCAG
This is a long non-coding RNA of Lolium rigidum, 497 nucleotides long. RefSeq lists it as uncharacterized. The record is from RefSeq and is a predicted model, not a curated record. The transcript is spliced from 5 exons. Lineage: Eukaryota; Viridiplantae; Streptophyta; Magnoliopsida; Poales; Poaceae.